Molecule: ribosomal RNA, 236 nt
Filed under: uncultured bacterium
Lineage: Bacteria
Description: partial 16S ribosomal RNA
Rfam family: Bacterial small subunit ribosomal RNA
Source: RNAcentral
CGGGGUAGGAGUAACGCGUGAGGAACCUGCCUCAAAGAGGGGGACAACAGUUGGAAACGACUGCUAAUACCGCAUAAGCCCACGGCUCGGCAUCGAGCAGAGGGAAAAGGAGCAAUCCGCCUUGAGAUGGCCUCGCGUCCGAUUAGCUAGUUGGUGAGGUAACGGCCCACCAAGGCGACGAUCGGUAGCCGGACUGAGAGGUUGAACGGCCACAUUGGGACUGAGACACGGCCCAG